RNAcentral lists this long non-coding RNA (1169 nucleotides) under Daucus carota (carrot). Its description in RNAcentral is "long non-coding RNA (DCAR_LNC006658)". Lineage: Eukaryota; Viridiplantae; Streptophyta; Magnoliopsida; Apiales; Apiaceae. The record is from RNAcentral.
GUGUGACUAAUGACUACAAACCAAAUCACCCACUCGGCUUGUACAGAGACUCGGCAAAACAGAAACAGCUUGAAAGAUUAGUAUUCAGAGAAAUCUAAACUAAAACAAAACAAACUUGAAUCCAACAGUAGAUUAGGAAAGCAAUCGGCAAAAUCAACAUUCCAAAUAACAUCACCACUUUGCUCAAAACUCUGUACUAAACUCAGACUAGAAUCGACUAUGAAAUCAACUCGGACAACUCAGUAAAAACAGAACACAAGCUCGGAUUAAGCACUUGACUCAGAAAGAAAAACUCGGAAUAAACUAGGCUUGCGACUCAGCUACUGGCUAAGAACAGACUCAACAAAGCAGAGGAGACUCGACCCACAAACUCGACGCAGCCAAAACAGCCGAUCCAAACUAAGCUUGCAAGAAACGAACUCAGCUUUGGACUCGGGAAGAAACAUGGGACUCGAUUCUGCCUCCGCAAACAAACUGAAACGCCUAGAACAAAAGCCAUGACUCGAUUACUCCGAACCCAGGAAAAGAAAGACAACAGAAACAAAUGCAUCACAAUGAACAAACCCAGAACACGACUAAACAUAAACUCAGCAGAAAUCGACUUAACUAAAUUGGACACAAACGCAGCAAAACUACUGGACUCGGUGGUUCAUUGACUCGCCCCAGAAAACAGCGACAACAACUCGGCAAAGGAAGAAACAAAGACUCUGCUCCGUAAUGACACAACUAAACCGAAAUAUGCAACAAGAGAUACACAAACUCAGCAUCACAGGCCUACGACUCAGCUUACGCACUAAACAAGAAAGACUCGAAACAACACCAACAAUAUCAAACCCAACGGCUAAUACUAUACUCGCUACUCAGCUUCCACAACUCGGUAAUACAAACCCAACAAACUCGAUCACAAGCAAUGAUUGUAUUUAACUAAACAGAACCCAAAUCUCGACUAAACAAAACCAUGGCCAGUGACUUGGGCGGAAACACAUCAGAACAGGGGAUGGGUUUACAGCAAUUAAACAACCAAAUUAACAAAAACAGAUGUGACUCGUAAGAAAACAAAGUAAACCAAGAAGAAACUAAGAAAAAGAAAUGGUGUUUUAACGCUUUAAACUUGAAAUAAACAGGGGAGGUUUUUUGUUAAAACGAAAAGUAAAACAGGGGAAGAGGGU